ACAGCUUCUCGGCCUUUUGGCUAAGAUCAAGUGUAGUAUCUGUUCUUCUUCUUCUUCUUAUUAUUAUUAUUAUUUUCAUGCUGGUGGGGAUGGGUGCUGCAUGGAGGAUUCAGGUGUACCAGGGCUUUCCGGGGCUGGUUCUGAGGAAUCAGCUCGACGGCUGCCCCGAUGUGACCUGUUCCC
This is a small nuclear RNA of Hyla sarda, 183 nucleotides long. RefSeq annotates it as U2 spliceosomal RNA. The record is from RefSeq and is a predicted model, not a curated record. Lineage: Eukaryota; Metazoa; Chordata; Amphibia; Anura; Hylidae. The transcript has a single exon.